AGACACAGGUAUUCAGGAUGAUCAAUAGGAGAUUCGUUGAUACAUCCAGGAGUUCCAGUUAGCUAUGACAAGCCUCCUUGCUUCCGGAGGAUUUCAUUUACCUUUCAGUUGUAUCAGUUGUUAGGAGGUCGUGGGUCCUGUCCCGGCUUCCAUCUUUAUCAGUUAGAGGCUUCAUAGAUAGACAGUAGAGUUUCAGAAGUCUUUUCAUUUAUUUUGUUAAAUGUUUUAAAGACUAAAGUUGCCUUCUAUGGCGAGUUGUAUAUAUAUUCUAUUAUACAGA
Molecule: long non-coding RNA, 280 nt
Filed under: Solanum tuberosum (potato)
Lineage: Eukaryota; Viridiplantae; Streptophyta; Magnoliopsida; Solanales; Solanaceae
Description: long non-coding RNA (STUB_LNC004575)
Source: RNAcentral